UAGGGAAUCUUCCGCAAUGUGCGAAAGCCUGACGGAGCAACGCCGCGUGAGUGAUGAAGGUCUUCGGAUCGUAAAACUCUGUUAUUAGGGAAGAACAAAUGUGUAAGUAACUAUGCACGUCUUGACGGUACCUAAUCAGAAAGCCACGGCUAACUACGUGCCAGCAGCCGCGGUAAUACGUAGGUGGCAAGCUUUAUCCGGAAUUAUUGGGCGUAAAGCGCGCGUAGGCGGUUUUUUAAGUCUGAUGUGAAAGCCCACGGCUCAACCGUGGAGGGUCAUUGGAAACUGGAAAACUUGAGUGCAGAAGAGGAAAGUGGAAUUCCAUGUGUAGCGGUGAAAUGCGCAGAGAUAUGGAGGAACACCAGUGGCGAAGGCGACUUUCUGGUCUGUAACUGACGCAGAUGUGCGAAAGCGUGGGGAUCAAACAGG
RNAcentral lists this ribosomal RNA (429 nucleotides) under Actinomycetes bacterium. RNAcentral's name for it is "Actinobacteria bacterium partial 16S ribosomal RNA". It matches the Rfam family "Bacterial small subunit ribosomal RNA", at positions 355 to 776 of the family's 1533-position model. Lineage: Bacteria; Bacillati; Actinomycetota; Actinomycetes. The record is from RNAcentral.